Unclassified non-coding RNA from Pongo abelii (Sumatran orangutan), 117 nucleotides. It matches the Rfam family "Metazoan signal recognition particle RNA". From Rfam's summary of the family: The signal recognition particle (SRP) is a universally conserved ribonucleoprotein. It is involved in the co-translational targeting of proteins to membranes. Lineage: Eukaryota; Metazoa; Chordata; Mammalia; Primates; Hominidae. The record is from Ensembl.
GCCAGGCGAGGUGGCUCAUGCCUGUAAUCCCAGCACUUUGGGAGGCUGAGGCGGGUGGAUCACCUGAGGCCAGGAGUUCAAGACCAGCCUGGCCAACAUGGUGAAACCCCGUCUCUA